Molecule: ribosomal RNA, 253 nt
Filed under: uncultured bacterium
Lineage: Bacteria
Description: partial 16S ribosomal RNA
Rfam family: Bacterial small subunit ribosomal RNA
Source: RNAcentral
UACGAAGGGGGCUAGCGUUGCUCGGAAUCACUGGGCGUAAAGCGCGCGUAGGCGGAUUUUUAAGUCACGGGUGAAAUCCUGGAGCUCAACUCCAGAACUGCCUUUGAUACUGGCGAUCUCGAGUCCGGGAGAGGUGAGUGGAACUGCGAGUGUAGAGGUGAAAUUCGUAGAUAUUCGCAAGAACACCAGUGGCGAAGGCGGCUCACUGGACCGGUACUGACGCUGAGGUGCGAAAGCGUGGGGAGCAAACAGG